This 463-nucleotide ribosomal RNA is filed under the name uncultured bacterium. RNAcentral describes it as "bacterial SSU rRNA". It matches the Rfam family "Bacterial small subunit ribosomal RNA", at positions 917 to 1382 of the family's 1533-position model. The record is from RNAcentral.
GGGCCCGCACAAGCAGUGGAGUAUGUGGUUUAAUUCGAAGCAACGCGAAGAACCUUACCAGGGCUUGACAUGCAGGUGAAUGCAGUAGAGAUAUUGCAGUCCUUCGGGACACCUGUGCAGGUGGUGCAUGGUUGUCGUCAGCUCGUGUCGUGAGAUGUUGGGUUAAGUCCCGCAACGAGCGCAACCCCUGUUGUUAGUUGCCAUCAUUAAGUUGGGCACUCUAACGAGACUGCCGGUGACAAAUCGGAGGAAGGUGGGGACGACGUCAAAUCAUCAUGCCCCUUAUGUCCUGGGCUACACACGUACUACAAUGGCUAUUAACAGCAGGGAGCUAAGGCGUAAGCCGGAGCGAAUCCUCAAAAAUAGUCUCAGUUCGGAUUGUGGGCUGCAACCCGCCCACAUGAAGUCGGAAUUGCUAGUAAUGGCAGGUCAGCAUACUGCCGUGAAUACGUUCCCGGGCCUU